This 54-nucleotide transfer RNA is filed under the name Parachtes romandiolae. RNAcentral describes it as "tRNA-Asp". Lineage: Eukaryota; Metazoa; Arthropoda; Arachnida; Araneae; Dysderidae. The record is from RNAcentral.
UGUAAUAAGGUUAUUUAAUGUAAGUUUGUCAGGCUUAAGAGUAGAAUAUUCCAC